RNAcentral lists this ribosomal RNA (253 nucleotides) under uncultured bacterium. RNAcentral describes it as "partial 16S ribosomal RNA". It matches the Rfam family "Bacterial small subunit ribosomal RNA", at positions 524 to 776 of the family's 1533-position model. The record is from RNAcentral.
UACGGAGGGUGCAAGCGUUAUCCGGAUUCACUGGGUUUAAAGGGUGCGUAGGCGGGUUGGUAAGUCAGUGGUGAAAUCCCCGAGCUUAACUUGGGAACUGCCAUUGAUACUAUCAGUCUUGAAUACCGUGGAGGUCGACGGAAUAUGUCAUGUAGCGGUGAAAUGCUUAGAUAUGACAUAGAACACCAAUUGCGAAGGCAGUUGGCUAAACGAGUAUUGACGCUGAGGCACGAAAGCGUGGGGAUCAAACAGG